UUGAGAGUUUGAUCCUGGCUCAGAACGAACGCUGGCGGCAGGCCUAACACAUGCAAGUCGGACGAGAAGGUACCUUCGGGUACUGGAGAGUGGCGCACGGGUGAGUAACGCGUGGGGACCUACCUCUUAGUGGGGGAUAACGGUUGGAAACGACCGCUAAUACCGCAUACGCCCUUCGGGGGAAAGAUUUAUCGCUAAGAGAUGGACCCGCGUUGGAUUAGAUAGUUGGUGAGGUAACGGCUCACCAAGUCAGCGAUCCAUAGCUGGUUUGAGAGGAUGAUCAGCCACACUGGGACUGAGACACGGCCCAGACUCCUACGGGAGGCAGCAGUGGGGAAUAUUGCACAAUGGGGGAAACCCUGAUGCAGCCAUGCCGCGUGUGUGAAGAAGGCCUUCGGGUUGUAAAGCACUUUCAGUUGUGAGGAAAAGUUAGUAGUUAAUACCUGCUAGCCGUGACGUUAACAACAGAAGAAGCACCGGCUAACUCCGUGCCAGCAGCCGCGGUAAUACGGAGGGUGCGAGCGUUAAUCGGAAUUACUGGGCGUAAAGCGCACGCAGGCGGUUUGUUAAGCUAGAUGUGAAAGCCCCGGGCUCAACCUGGGAUGGUCAUUUAGAACUGGCAGACUAGAGUCUUGGAGAGGGGAGUGGAAUUCCAGGUGUAGCGGUGAAAUGCGUAGAUAUCUGGAGGAACAUCAGUGGCGAAGGCGACUCCCUGGCCAAAGACUGACGCUCAUGUGCGAAAGUGUGGGUAGCGAACAGGAUUAGAUACCCUGGUAGUCCACACCGUAAACGCUGUCUACUAGCUGUGUGUGCCUUUAAGGCGUGCGUAGCGAAGCUAACGCGCUAAGUAGACCGCCUGGGGAGUACGGCCGCAAGGUUAAAACUCAAAUGAAUUGACGGGGGCCCGCACAAGCGGUGGAGCAUGUGGUUUAAUUCGAUGAUACGCGAGGAACCUUACCAGGGCUUAAAUGCAGUCUGACGUAUCUGGAAACAGAUAUUUCUUCGGACAGAUUGCAAGGUGCUGCAUGGUUGUCGUCAGCUCGUGCCGUGAGGUGUCAGGUUAAGUCCUAUAACGAGCGCAACCCCUGUGGUUAGUUGCCAGCGAGUAAUGUCGGGAACUCUAGCCAGACUGCCGGUGCAAACCGUGAGGAAGGUGGGGAUGACGUCAAAUCAUCACGGCCCUUACGUCCUGGGCCACACACGUGCUACAAUGGUAGGGACAGAGAGCAGCCACUUCGCGAGAAGGAGCGAAUCUAUAAACCCUAUCACAGUUCGGAUCGUAGUCUGCAACUCGACUACGUGAAGCUGGAAUCGCUAGUAAUCGCAUAUCAGCCAUGAUGCGGUGAAUACGUUCCCGGGCCUUGUACACACCGCCCGUCACACCAUGGGAGUUGGUUCUACCCGACGACGCUGCGCUAACCUUCGGGGGGCAGGCGGCCACGGUAGGAUCAGCGACUGGGGUGAAGUCGGAACAAGGUAGCCGUAGGGGAACCUGCGGCUGGAUCACC
Molecule: ribosomal RNA, 1508 nt
Filed under: Paramoeba aestuarina
Lineage: Eukaryota; Discosea; Flabellinia; Dactylopodida; Paramoebidae
Description: Bacterial small subunit ribosomal RNA
Rfam family: Bacterial small subunit ribosomal RNA
Source: RNAcentral